AUACGUAGGUGGCAAGCGUUGUCCGGAAUUAUUGGGCGUAAAGCGCAUGUAGGCGGUAAUUUAAGUCUGUCGUGAAACUGCGGGGCUCAGCCCCGUAUGGCGAUGGAAACUGGGUUACUUGAGUGCAGGAGAGGAAAGGGGAACUCCCAGUGUAGCGGUGAAAUGCGUAGAUAUUGGGAAGAACACCGGUGGCGAAGGCGCCUUUCUGGACUGUGUCUGACGCUGAGAUGCGAAAGCCAGGGUAGCGAACGGGAUUAGAUACCCCGGUAGUCCUGGCCGUAAACGAUGGGUACUAGGUGUGGGAGGUAUCGACCCCUUCCGUGCCGGAGUUAACGCAAUAAGUACCCCGCCUGGGGAGUGCGGCCGCAAGGCUUAAACUCAAAGGAAUUGACGGGG
This 396-nucleotide ribosomal RNA is filed under the name uncultured bacterium. RNAcentral's name for it is "partial 16S ribosomal RNA". It matches the Rfam family "Bacterial small subunit ribosomal RNA", at positions 523 to 918 of the family's 1533-position model. The record is from RNAcentral.